RNAcentral lists this transfer-messenger RNA (265 nucleotides) under Bartonella clarridgeiae. RNAcentral's name for it is "partial ssrA". It matches the Rfam family "Alphaproteobacteria transfer-messenger RNA", at positions 91 to 350 of the family's 355-position model. From Rfam's summary of the family: Bacterial tmRNA, also known as 10Sa RNA or SsrA, is named for its dual tRNA and mRNA-like properties. Lineage: Bacteria; Pseudomonadati; Pseudomonadota; Alphaproteobacteria; Hyphomicrobiales; Bartonellaceae. The record is from RNAcentral.
ACCGGGGGCGGUACCCGGCGCCUCCACCAAAGUAUAAUCAACAAAGAUUAUAUUUUUAUGGGGGCGAAACAGGAUCGACAAGGGUGUAAAGAUUGCUCUUUUACUCGGCAUUGUACCACCGUUAUCGGGCUAGAUGAAUAGUUGCAAAUGACAACUAUGCGGAGGCACGUCUCAUCGCUGCUUAAGCGAUGCGAAGGCUUCAAAUUAAGUCUUAAACCGUCGCAGGUUUAAGCGGGGUUCAAAGGCACCUGGAGACAGAAGCCAA